RNAcentral lists this ribosomal RNA (195 nucleotides) under uncultured Streptococcus sp. Its description in RNAcentral is "partial 16S ribosomal RNA". It matches the Rfam family "Bacterial small subunit ribosomal RNA", at positions 1190 to 1382 of the family's 1533-position model. The record is from RNAcentral. Lineage: Bacteria; Bacillati; Bacillota; Bacilli; Lactobacillales; Streptococcaceae.
UCAUCAUGCCCUUAUGACCUGGGCUACACACGUGCUACAAUGGUUGGUACAACGAGUUGCGAGUCGGUGACGGCGAGCUAAUCUCUUAAAGCCAAUCUCAGUUCGGAUUGUAGGCUGCAACUCGCCUACAUGAAGUCGGAAUCGCUAGUAAUCGCGGAUCAGCACGCCGCGGUGGAAUAACGUUCCCGGGCCGUU